GCAAUGCUUGAGACAUUUCUAUUAACUGAAACCUUGAACUAUCUCAAGUAAAAUAUUUAAAGGAAUGAAGAUGUUUUAGACUAAAGAAAACCAAAGCACUUAUCGUUGAGAAGGAUAGAUUCUUCUCCUUCCCUUCUCCACACAAAUAUCAUCAAAAUGUUACCGAACUCAGGUUUGGCUACUGGCCACUCAAAAGCCAAUAAUUCGAGAAGCAAGUGUCAGUAGAAAGGAAAGGUGCUUUAAUCAGAGAAGCCGGCAACCUGAGAAGGUGGUGGAUUCAUGUCCCGAGACCAACUCCAAAGUCUUAAUUGAUGAUCAGAAAAUCUCUUAUAAGGAAUAAGUUGGAAAAGAAACCUUUAUUUUGAUCAGGUCGUUUCAUAAAAUUUUAUUAUGUCACCAUAAUGCUAUUAAUUCAGGUAUUCAAGACCACUGGUAAUAAAUUUAUUAAACGUCCGGCUAUGUUACGAAGUUAAAGUGUUGGUAGCUUUUUGGGUCCAUGAUAGUGCCUUCAGCGUCGCCUUUCUCAGAAAAAUAUUUGAUGGACAAUAUUGACCUCUUGGAACUCGAUAUAUUUCCAAUAUCUGAGGCCAGUUUGAAAUUAUUUUCCCCCAAAUGGGGUUACAGAAUGAAGAAGUCCAUGUCAGUUAGCAAAUUUCUUGAAAGCUGACUUUGUAUAUCUGUCCCUCAGGAACUGGAGUGAAUGUCCUUUUCCUAGAGGCCAUAAAGGCAGCCUCCACACAUCCAAUGCCAGGUGACGAUGAUGCAUGAAUAUGACUAGCACAGAAGGGUCGGAAGCAAAGCUAUAAAUGAGAAGUCAGGGAGAUGUUGCCUUCGUUCUGAGAAGAGAACGUUCUGAGAAGGAGAACUCUUCAGCUGUGCCUGAGAAUAGCAAAAGUACCUUUGAUGAGCAUUCAUGAUUGUUGAAAAUGGGGAAAGCAGAGACGGAAGCAGCAGCAGAAGACCUCUGAGAGACAAAGGUGCACCGAAACUACACCCACAGCUGCCUGCAGAGAUUUGCUUAAGUACAGAUGAGGAAACUGAAGCUUGUAGAAGUUAAAUAACUUUCCCAAACAAAGUGGCAGAAGCAAGAUUUUAAAGCCUGGCCUUUGUUUUCAAGAAUCCUGAGCCCCUGGAGAAAUUUAUACCAGGGCAGGAGACCAGCGCCUCUGAGCACGAAGGAAAGAGCUGCAGAGAUACCCGACUGUAAUCGCAGAGUCCACAACCUUGUCAAAGGCGCUGAGUGGCUCCGAAGCAUGGAAGCUGACCCUUGGGGACCACGUGGGGCUGGAACAUGAACGUGUUUGAGGCAUCCGGAAUCGGUGGAGCAUCCCCGUGUGGUCAGUUCUGGGUCCUCUUUUUGAGGGAAGUCAGAUCAUGGAAGAGGUCCUGCUACACUGAGACAACACACAUUGGAGGGGCAUCUUUGGGAGCAUCCAGAGACAGAGCCCCAGCUCCAUUCCCAGCCAACAGCCAGUCUCCAGCGCAGCUACGUGAGUUACCCUCUGGGACAUCUUGGCCAGCUGAGCCCCCAGAGGACUGCCGCCCUGGCUGACCUCCAGACCAUGACUGCAUCAGAGUCCCAGGUGAGAUAAGCCUAGCCCAGCCCUGCCCAGACCCCUGACACACAAAGUCAUGACAAAAUAAAAUGAAACGCCUCUAAGU
This is a long non-coding RNA of Globicephala melas (long-finned pilot whale), 1662 nucleotides long. RefSeq lists it as uncharacterized. NCBI's taxonomy places the organism in Eukaryota, Metazoa, Chordata, Mammalia, Artiodactyla, Delphinidae. The record is from RefSeq and is a predicted model, not a curated record.